ACGCUCGACACCUACGGGGNGGCAGCAGUGGGGAAUAUUGCACAAUGGGGGAAACCCUGAUGCAGCAACGCCGCGUGAGUGAAGAAGUAUUUCGGUAUGUAAAGCUCUAUCAGCAGGGAAGAUAAUGACGGUACCUGACUAAGAAGCUCCGGCUAAAGUACGUGCCAGCAGCUGCGGUAAUCUGAGCGGGCUGGCAAGGC
RNAcentral lists this ribosomal RNA (200 nucleotides) under uncultured bacterium. RNAcentral describes it as "partial 16S ribosomal RNA". It matches the Rfam family "Bacterial small subunit ribosomal RNA", at positions 328 to 539 of the family's 1533-position model. The record is from RNAcentral.